GCGGCUUUAGUUCACCGGUAGAAUCCGAGCUUCCCAAGCUUGAGAAGUGGGUUCGAUUCCCACAAGCCGCA
This 71-nucleotide transfer RNA is filed under the name Candidatus Woesearchaeota archaeon. Its description in RNAcentral is "tRNA-Gly". It matches the Rfam family "tRNA". Rfam says of the family: Transfer RNA (tRNA) molecules are approximately 80 nucleotides in length. Lineage: Archaea; Nanobdellati; Candidatus Woesearchaeota. The record is from RNAcentral.